AGGGUGGAAAAUCUGGAUUCUACCCCAAGUGCAGGGGCACAGAUAGAAAGCUGCUGAGAGACUACACUCUGAGGUCAGCCUUGACCCUGAGGCUCAUCUGGCUCUCCCUGUUCCUCUACAGCCAGGUAAAGGUUAGAGGCAAGUCUCGGAGAUGGAAACCCAAGGUCAUGCAGUUGUGCCAAUGCCCGUUGUUAGACAACAUGCUUCUAUUCCUGACAAACCAGUCUCAAGCAGCUCUGACUGAUGGGGCGGAUUUCAAUGCUCUCCAAUGACUUCCAAGUGUUAAGAAAAAGCUGCUGCUACCCUACAUGCCCAAGCUAUACGAACUACUUUUUUCCAGGCAAACAGGAUUCCUGCAGACAAUGCUCGGAUGAUGAAAUCUGAGAGGCUGGAUGACAGAGAAACCCACAUGCAUACACACACACUUUAUAAAGCUUAGGAACAAAAGCACUUUAUAAUCUCCUUCUGAUGCCAAGUUUACAGUGCUUCCAGAGUCAACAAAGGUGACUCAGGAGAGUGCACCCAGCUCCUUUCAGCACUUAUUUAGCUCAGCCACCUGUGUGAGCUCAAAGACAAGGGUGCCGACUUCACCUGAGUAGACCCUGAGUCACGUGAUUUCUUGCUGGAGAUGAUUCAGCAAAGGAGCACUAACCUCUGAGACAAGGCUUCAGCUUCCUGAGCUCUGCUGACUCGCCUGGGACUUCCCUAAGCCCUUCUGGACCUAGAUGAGGGCAAAACUCAGUGGAACCUCAGAAGCCCUAAAAAAAUGAUAGACUUUCUUUUGUCUCAUCAUUAUCAGCAUUUUGGGAUGAUUUAGUCAGCCUAAGAAACCUGAUGGCAUGUUGACACCAGAAAACAGGUAGUAUAUAUUCCCAAACCAAGUUAAAAAAAAUUAAGAAAUAACAGCUGGAAUGCCUUUUAUUUUUUCUUUACACAAAUGUGUGUGUCAUCGUCAUAUGCCUUUUUUGUGUUAAUUUCUGAGGAUCCUGCCAGUGUGAAUACUCCAUUCUCUGCGAGUCGCAGGUCAGGCUGCUUUUGAGGCAAGCACACGUUAAGUAUUGAGCAGAAACAUUUGAAGCAAAGAUGAGAAAGACAGAAGGGGAAGCAAGAAAAAUAGUCUUCCCAGUGUGCCUAUUUGGGUGCAUAUAAAGUUACUUUUAGAUGUGCGAUUACUGGUUAAUGAUUUGGGGAAUUCUUUUCAAGUAGAAAUCCUGGGCUAAAAACUAAGUGUGCUCAAGCUACCCCCGCACCCACUGAUUCUGCACUCCAUGGGAAAAGUUCUCACAAGCAAGUCCUUUGUCCACUACCCACGUCUAUAGGAAAUGUUUGAACAGCUAUACACAAAGAACUCACAAGUCCACAACCUCGGGGGUGUUGCGGGUGGAGAGGGCAGUGGUAAAGGUGAUGACAGGGAGGGCCUGUGGGGACAGUAAUAUUAGAUUAGUGGUCAGAAGAUGCUGGAGCCUGCCUUGCCAGUCACACACUUUUAGAGGAAUGCUGGACAGUACACACCCUCCCCAACCCUGAAUGUAGGCCCUCGCUGACAUCACGCCAGAUGAAGCCCUGAGGUCUUUAACAUCUGUAACUCUAUGGCAUGUAACAUAAACAGGUGUCUGACCAGUUUCCCCAGAUAUAGAAUAAUAAUAAUACCUUUCAUUUAAAAAGGUAAGAGGGAAUUCAACAAGCUUUCCUUCUUAAAUAAAUCUCCAUCUCAGGAAGCCAUGGAAAGAUGCCCCUCCCACACUAAGACUGUAGAGAGAGGCACUGUGAAGGUCUGGCUUGGAGAUCUCAGCUCUUCCUGCCUCUCAGGGGGAAAGGGCAGAUCCAGCAGGCCGGGAAAGGAUCUCCCAGGGUCCCAAGGAGGCAGCAUGGGGCAAAGUCCAACAGUGAGGAUUCUCUCCUUCUCUGGUCUCUUUUCUGUUAAAAAUGCUUCUUUGGGGUACCCUUCAUUACUACCCUGGAGGUUGAAGGACACUUCUUGAGAAGGCAUAGAUACUCUUCAGGUAUGCUGAAGAAAUGAGUUGUGCUAAAACCACUGGUUAAUUUUGUCUGUGGCAAAAAAUCAUGAGGGUGACAUAGACUCCCAGGCCAGGAACCCGAGACUGGAUUUAAGAGAUGUGGCCAGGAUCCACAGGGGAGCUUGUAUGUGGCUCACAUCAUUAGCUCUUUCUGUAUAUUUGUAUUGUAAACCAUUUCCCUUCAUUUGUGAAGAUGGAGAUCACUUUUUCUAUACAGGCUAGAAAUGUUUCUUCAUACACACACGCUGAGCUUGUUUAUAAAAGAUAUUCAUUUAUAUGGUGGUUUUAACAACUUUUCCAUGUGGAAAUUUUAGACGACAGUAACACAGACCCUCAUGUACUCAUCACUCAGCCUUGAUGGUUACUGACACAUGCCCAAUAUUGUUUCAUCUGUUUCUCCCCACAACUCCUGGAUUAAUUUGAAAGAAAUCCUAGAAGUCACUUAAUCAGCAAAUACUCCAGUCUGUUGGUCCACUCCUUAUACAAUAGCCAGGGUGAUCUUUUACACAUGAAGUAGUGAUUGCAUCACUCAUGCUUGCUUGGAAUUCUUCAAAGACUUACGUUGGCACUUCAGAUAAAGUGUAGACUCCUUCGCGUGACCUAGGAUGUCCUUUGGGCUCUCACUGUUCCCUCAGCCUCCUCACCUGAAGCUCUCACUGCCCCACCCCUUUGCUCAUCACACUCCAACCCGCCUGCCAUUGAGCUACUCAAAUGGACUGCUCCUUUCUCAAGACCUCUGCACACUUUCAAGCCUCAUUUCUCUUCAGCCUUUAUUAAAUGUCAUCUCCUCCAGAUGGCCUCCUUUGGUGGCCCAGGUCAUGUUAGAUCUGCCUGUUAAAUAAAUGCUUUCAAAGAA
This 2874-nucleotide long non-coding RNA is filed under the name Homo sapiens (human). Its description in RNAcentral is "PRKCH antisense RNA 2, transcript variant 5 (PRKCH-AS2)". Lineage: Eukaryota; Metazoa; Chordata; Mammalia; Primates; Hominidae. The record is from RNAcentral.